AGUGGCGUACGGGUGAGUAACACGUGGGCAACCUGCCCUGGAGCCUGGGAUACCCUCCCGAAAGGGAGGCUAAUACCGGAUACGUUCCCCGGGUCGCGAGAUCUGGGGAGGAAAGGUGGCGCAAGCUGCCGCUCUUGGAGGGGCUCGCGGCCUAUCAGCUAGUUGGUGAGGUAAUGGCUCACCAAGGCUAUGACGGGUAGCUGGUCUGAGAGGACGACCAGCCACACGGGGACUGAGACACGGCCCCGACUCCUACGGGAGGCAGCAGUGGGGAAUUUUCCGCAAUGGGCGAAAGCCUGACGGAGUGACGCCGCGUGGGGGACGAAGGCCUUCGGGUUGUAAACCCCUGUCAGAGGGAAAGAAGGGUGUCGGCGCGAUAACCGCCGGCACCUGACGGUACCUUCAGAGGAAGCCCCGGCCAACUCUGUGCCAGCAGCCGCGGUAAGACAGAGGGGGCUAGCGUUGCUCGGAAUUACUGGGCGUAAAGGGCGCGUAGGCGGGGCGGCAAGUCGGUCGUGAAAUCCUCCGGCUCAACCGGAGAACGUCGGCCGAAACUGCCGUUCUUGAGGGAUGCAGAGGAGAUUGGAAUUCCCGGUGUAGCGGUGAAAUGUGUAGAGAUCGGGAGGAACACCGGUGGCGAAAGCGGGUCUCUGGGCAUCUCCUGACGCUGAAGCGCGAAAGCGUGGGGAGCAAACGGGAUUAGAUACCCCGGUAGUCCACGCUGUAAACGAUG
Molecule: ribosomal RNA, 733 nt
Filed under: uncultured bacterium
Lineage: Bacteria
Description: bacterial SSU rRNA
Rfam family: Bacterial small subunit ribosomal RNA
Source: RNAcentral